GAUGAACGCUGGCGGCGUGCCUAAUACAUGCCAGUCGAGCGAACGGACGAGAAGCUUGCUUCUCUGAUGUUAGCGGCGGACGGGUGAGUAACACGUGGAUAACCUACCUAUAAGACUGGGAUAACUUCGGGAAACCGGAGCUAAUACCGGAUGAUAUUUUGAACCGCAUGGUUCAAAAGUGAAAGACGGUCUUGCUGUCACUUAUAGAUGGUUCCGCGCUGCAUUAGCUAGUUGGUAAGGUAACGGCUUACCAAGGCAACGAUGCAUAGCCGACCUGAGAGGGUGAUCGGCCACACUGGAACUGAGACACGGUCCAGACUCCUACGGGAGGCAGCAGUAGGGAAUCUUCCGCAAUGGGCGAAAGCCUGACGGAGCAACGCCGCGUGAGUGAUGAAGGUCUUCGGAUCGUAAAACUCUGUUAUUAGGGAAGAACAUAUGUGUAAGUAACUGUGCACAUCUUGACGGUACCUAAUCAGAAAGCCACGGCUAACUACGUG
This 497-nucleotide ribosomal RNA is filed under the name uncultured bacterium. RNAcentral describes it as "partial 16S ribosomal RNA". It matches the Rfam family "Bacterial small subunit ribosomal RNA", at positions 28 to 507 of the family's 1533-position model. The record is from RNAcentral.